GCUCUGUGGAUCAGUGGCGAACGGGUGAGAAUCCGUGAGCAAUCUGCCCCUGACUCUGGGAUAAGCGCUGGAAACGGCGUCUAAUACCGGAUACGAGCUGCGACCGCAUGGUCGGCAGUUGGAAAGAAUUUCGGUCAGGGAUGAGCUCGCGGCCUAUCAGCUUGUUGGUGAGGUAAUGGCUCACCAAGGCGUCGACGGGUAGCCGGCCUGAGAGGGUGACCGGCCACACUGGGACUGAGACACGGCCCAGACUCCUACGGGAGGCAGCAGUGGGGAAUAUUGCACAAUGGGCGAAAGCCUGAUGCAGCAACGCCGCGUGAGGGAUGACGGCCUUCGGGUUGUAAACCUCUUUUAGCAGGGAAGAAGCGAAAGUGACGGUACCUGCAGAAAAAGCGCCGGCUAACUACGUGCCAGCAGCCGCGGUAAUACGUAGGGCGCAAGCGUUAUCCGGAAUUAUUGGGCGUAAAGAGCUCGUAGGCGGUCUGUCGCGUCUGCUGUGAAAACCCGAGGCUCAACCUCGGGCCUGCAGUGGGUACGGGCAGACUAGAGUGCGGUAGGGGAGAUUGGAAUUCCUGGUGUAGCGGUGGAAUGCGCAGAUAUCAGAGGAACACCGAUGGCGAAAGCAGAUCUCUGGGCCGUAACUG
Molecule: ribosomal RNA, 644 nt
Filed under: Microbacterium sp.
Lineage: Bacteria; Bacillati; Actinomycetota; Actinomycetes; Micrococcales; Microbacteriaceae
Description: bacterial SSU rRNA
Rfam family: Bacterial small subunit ribosomal RNA
Source: RNAcentral